RNAcentral lists this small RNA (689 nucleotides) under Histoplasma capsulatum. RNAcentral's name for it is "hypothetical RNA". RNAcentral also lists the same sequence under 1 other name. The record is from RNAcentral. Lineage: Eukaryota; Fungi; Ascomycota; Eurotiomycetes; Onygenales; Ajellomycetaceae.
CUGGAACUUCCGCAAUAUCACUUGGAUCCACCUGUCAAUUUGCACCUAGCACGCCUGUUGGUUGGAGAUGACGGCAUGCACAUCCCAGCCGUCGACUUCGACAUUACCCCGGAAUCACAAUGCGCGAGAAGCGAAAAAUUCCUCCCCGUGGUGGAGAAUCCACCGCAAAGAGAAAGCUUUCAGAGGCAGCUCUCAAAAGGGACACCACACCGGCGAAGAGAAAAGCAUCUGCUACGCCCACUAUCCCCUCGCUGCCGGAACCUGAGAGGAGGGUCCUCCCCACAAAGAUUGAAGAUGGAAGCCCGUUGCCUACUCUUACCAACCCACAACCAAGCACUCUGUCACCGGAGGAGUAUCAGUCCUACGCUGAGAGCGCUGUAUUGUCUGCUGCUCUGCAAAGGUCAAGGAUAAGAUGGCUUAAUGACUGCAUAUUUGAGAAAUACUGGACCAAACCAUCCAAGAAGAAAUCACAGCCCCAACCACGGCAGAACCCCCCACGAGAAUCCAUGAGUAAACUGGGACCCUGCAAUAUCCUUAUCGAGCCUCAUCACUUUGAAGCCAUGUUAUUUACCGUCCGAAACCCGCAAGCCCAACAACCAAUCCAAUAUGCUCCUCCCCAGCGACCAAUUGUGCAAUACACCCCGCCAAAUAAUUUCUACCAGUACCAACCCCAACACCAACCCCCCGGC